UGGGGAAUAUUGGACAAUGGGCGCAAGCCUGAUCCAGCAAUGCCGCGUGUGUGAAGAAGGCCUGCGGGUUGUAAAGCACUUUAAGCAGGAAAGAAAGGCGGGAGGUUAAUACCCUUUUGCUGUGACGUUACCUGCAGAAUAAGCACCGGCUAACUCCGUGCCAGCAGCCGCGGUAAUACGGAGGGUGCGAGCGUUAAUCGGAAUUACUGGGCGUAAAGCGCGCGUAGGCGGUUUGCUAAGUCCGCUGUGAAAGCCCUGGGCUUAACCUGGGAACUGCAGUGGAUACUGGUGAGCUAGAGUAUGGUAGAGGGUAGUGGAAUUUCCGGUGUAGCAGUGAAAUGCGUAGAGAUCGGAAGGAACACCAGUGGCGAAGGCGGCUAUCUGGACCAAUACUGACGCUGAGGUGCGAAAGCGUGGGGAGCAAACA
This 427-nucleotide ribosomal RNA is filed under the name uncultured Methylococcaceae bacterium. RNAcentral's name for it is "partial 16S ribosomal RNA". It matches the Rfam family "Bacterial small subunit ribosomal RNA", at positions 355 to 774 of the family's 1533-position model. Lineage: Bacteria; Pseudomonadati; Pseudomonadota; Gammaproteobacteria; Methylococcales; Methylococcaceae. The record is from RNAcentral.